RNAcentral lists this ribosomal RNA (749 nucleotides) under uncultured soil bacterium. RNAcentral describes it as "bacterial SSU rRNA". It matches the Rfam family "Bacterial small subunit ribosomal RNA", at positions 742 to 1504 of the family's 1533-position model. The record is from RNAcentral.
GACGUGAGGGGCGAAGCGUGGGGAGCAACAGAUAGAUACCUGUAGUCCCGCGUAAACGAUGAUGUAGCGUCGGGCAGUAUACUGUUCGGUGGCGCAGCUAACGCAUUAACAUUCCGCCUGGGGAGUACGGUCGCAAGAUUAAACUCAAAGGAAUUGACGGGGCCCGCACAAGCGGUGGAGCACGUGGUUUAAUUCGAAGCAACGCGCAGAACCUUACCAGCUCUUGACAUUCGGGGUAUGGGCAUUGGAGACGAUGUCCUUCAGUUAGGCUGGCCCCAGAACAGGUGCUGCAUGGCUGUCGUCAGCUCGUGUCGUGAGAUGUUGGGUUAAGUCCCGCAACGAGCGCAACCCUCGCCCUUAGUUGCCAGCAUUUAGUUGGGCACUCUAAGGGGACUGCCGGUGAUAAGCCGAGAGGAAGGUGGGGAUGACGUCAAGUCCUCAUGGCCCUUACGGGCUGGGCUACACACGUGCUACAAUGGUGGUGACAGUGGGCAGCGAGACAGCGAUGUCGAGCUAAUCUCCAAAAGCCAUCUCAGUUCGGAUUGCACUCUGCAACUCGAGUGCAUGAAGUUGGAAUCGCUAGUAAUCACAGAUCAGCAUGCUGCGGUGAAUACGUUCCCGGGCCUUGUACACACCGCCCGUCACACCAUGGGAGUUGGUUCUACCCGAAGGUAGUGCGCUAACCGCAAGGAGGCAGCUAACCACGGUAGGGUCAGCGACUGGGGUGAAGUCGUAACAAGGUAGCCGUA